This 300-nucleotide long non-coding RNA is filed under the name Homo sapiens (human). RNAcentral's name for it is "HSALNT0332542". The record is from RNAcentral. Lineage: Eukaryota; Metazoa; Chordata; Mammalia; Primates; Hominidae.
AUGAUCAGGACAACUAACGUGGUUGAACUAGAAUGGAUCUUAGGAAGUCACUUUUCUUUUGCCAGUAACACAUGCAUUCUUGUGCAUGAAGCAAUGUAUGGCUGACAGCCAUCAACUGAAUUACUCAACAGCUCCUCUUUGGUGCAAUGCACUGUGUUGGACUCUGAUACCCUGAAUUCUUGAUCCUCAAGGCAUCGCCAGGACAUUGGACUUUAGGAUGCAAGAGAAGAUAAGGAAGACAAGAUCUCAACCACUUUCAGCAAAGCUUUGCGGAGAAUGCAACAUCCUUCAAGACACCAU